Molecule: long non-coding RNA, 3691 nt
Organism: Neodiprion fabricii
Lineage: Eukaryota; Metazoa; Arthropoda; Insecta; Hymenoptera; Diprionidae
Exons: 3
Source: RefSeq, a predicted model, not a curated record
CGUACAAUACAACAUUCGAGGUCAUCCGCGGGAAUUACCUUUAAUCUUAUCAAAACGCAGAAGAAGCACCGUAAACUAAUAACAUCGACUAAUAUUUUCCCCUAGUGUCUGUGUACCUCAAGUUAGAAAAUAUAAGUAUGGGUGUCAAAAAUGGUUUGAAAAAAAAAAAUAAAAUAUGCAAUCGCAUAAUUUUUCGAAAACAUGUAGUAAAAAAAAGUUUGAUGUUCCCUUAACGCCGCACCCAGUCUCAAUUGUAGUGAUAUCAAUGAAAUCACGUGAUUUACGGUAAAGUUGGUUGGUCGAGCGAAUUGGCAUACGACAAAUCGAAUGGUAUAACCAACCGGAACAGCUAUAUGUGUACAUAAUACAUACAUAUACAUCCAAUAAAUUCAGUUACUUUUCUUAUUUCAUACGAAGCGUGAGACGGGUUGCGGUUUUAAAUGUCGAAGAUCACAGUACAAUGUGCGAUUCGUAUCAUUUACGUACAAACAAGCGAAUCGCCAGUGAAAAACACCAUUGACUCAUAGAAUUCUCACUUUGCGUAUACUUAUAAUCUGGCUCACGACGUAGCGACAAGGGAGGGAAGAAGAAAAAGAGAGUUUCCUCACCGUGGUUGUGGGCUGGACGGAAAGGGAGAGCCUUCCAGCUCGGGAUGCGAGAGUUUCCUGCGCGCUCGCCGAGGAUCGACGUCGUCCUACCCAUGUGCUGGUCCAUGUGUUUGCUCGUCUUCUAGGAGGCGGUGGUUCGAUCCCGGCGUAGAUCGGGUACGUCAAGGUAGCCGGCAUCUUCGAGAAGGUAUCCGCAAACCGAAUCGCAACGCGUCGAAGGACAGAAAUGAUCUAUGGAUCGACUAGGUGCCCAGGCUGGUGGCUGCAGCUUUUCCGUUCAUAACUCGACUUAAACUUUGUAUGCAAUUGGUGUUCGGUUUCCUCUAUUUUCUUUCUUCUCUCGAAGUAUUAGACACGCUCCUGCAACGUAUUUUAUUAUUAUACGUACACCGUACGUUGUACGUGCCGAAUAGAGAUGCAUAGAGGCAAGAAUUACGGGCGUUAUACGUUGCGCGUUGGGAGGAUCGGGGUCCCGGAUCACAGCGGUGGCGGCUGUAGCCGAUUAAAGUUAAUUAGCGCGCACAAUUACGUAUAUCGAACAACAAAAUUUGACGAUUUUUACAUAUUUUUACAUUAUAGUUAUAUACAAAUACUUUUCUUCCCGCACCUUCGUUAAGAGCCACUCGUCGGCGUUACUUUUAGACUAGUUUCUUUAUUCGUUUUGACACACACCACACACAAGCAGCAACUGUGAGAAAUGGCUAUAUAUAUGCAUACAGACAACGCGUUCUGCCAAUAUUAGCCAAGCUCGCCCCGCAAAAUAAAGAAGCAAAAGCAAGUGGUGCUGUUUAUCAAAACGAUCAAGCGAUCACCUUGUUGAUCGUUAUCAGCUAGCACACGCGGUUUAAUCGCGAUGUUACAUAGAGAAAAUUAACGAGAAAGAAAUUACUCGUUCUUUGUUCGUUUAGCCGUACCCCACACGAUCUCAACUUAAUCAGCGCAUUAUUCUUCGCACACACACAACACCUACGCAAUGCGCACGCGAUAUACUUGUUCCUCCUUGAGUUUAAGUUUCAAACUAUUUCGCCAGGGCAACGAGGUGCAAAAAUUUAAGGCAAGUAUUCCGAUCCGUAACGUUAAACGUGAAAUUAAAUGAAUUGUCGCGGAAAACGUAAUUCCCGAAAGUACCAAAACUUUCGAAGAUAGAUAAGAAUGAGACAGCAUCAGAGCUGCUUUAAAUCAACGUCUGAUAACACCGUCGUGCGCGACUCAUGGACGACAGAGUCAAAAGAUAUGCACAGAUAUUACACGGGCGCGUAUUGCGAGUAAUGAUAAGUGUAUACAACAUACAUGAUACGUUAUAUGCGCGUGAGCGUAAGCGUUAAUACACUCCGCGUCGAGACGGUAUUGAGGAUUUUCUUAACACAGAAGUAUUAUGAUAAUUAAUGACAAAUUCACGAAUUUUUUUUUCUUCCUUUUUUUUCCCCCUUGUUCUCUCUUUGUUUUCCGAGUACACGCGCGACUACGUAACGUACCGUGCUUUCCAGGUCACGCCUGACUGCGACAAGACGCGAAUCGACCUAGGCCCAAGUUGAGAAAAUUAUGAACUACGUAAUUGAUAUAUGCAGUAAUUUAUUCUAUAGUAGUUUCAUUUACGCAUUCACGCUGCGUCGCGGGCCGCCGACUUCCUGCGCGUAAACGAAAAUGCCGAUUAUUAUUGGCCGGCUGCAACCGCGGAACGUUAUUAUGCAUAUGACAGUAAAUUGAUACAGCGAAACUGUAAGGUGUUGAUAGAUUAUAAGAUACAAUUACUGCUGCAUUCUUGAUCUUCUAUUGUACAAUUUUACAUCAUGUAUAUAUGUUAAUAAUAAGAAUAGUCAUCGUCGUAAUAAUAUGGCUAUACAAUAGUACACAAUCAUCAACUUAUGGUAGACCGUUGACAGAAUCAUCAACACUCGGUACUUACCCAGCACCUCUCUCUCGAUAUACAACUAUGUAUAAAAUAUAAAUAAAUUAAUUAAUAUGAUAAUUACAAUUUAAGCAAGUUUCAAUCCAUAUAUAUAUAUAUAUAUGAACUGGACGUGAUUCAAGUUUAUAUUUUUUUUAAAUAGGAGCACGGAACGAAUAACAAUUUGCACAUUUCUUGACGCUGCAAGGCGUGAGCCAAACGAUAUAUAAAUUUCAUUUUGCAACGUACAGGUUUUUUCCACCUUGUUAUUAGUUUCUAACAACUUCGACAAACUAAUCAGCAAUGGUCGCUGAAACUAUAACAGCUGUGGCCCACGAUUAGAUGCUAUCAACAUUAAAAAAAAAAAAAAAAUACAAACAAGCUAAUAGUUAUGGAUACUAGCUAACGGUAUACAGUAGAACCCCGAUUAACUGGGAUUGGUUUAACCGGGGAGCGAAUUAACCGUGACCCUCUGGAGCGCCUCCGCGCUUUGCGUGAGUAACCGGGUAUUAGCGGUUGUCUUGAAAAGGGAUUGGACUUGUGAAAAUACUCGUAGUUCACUGACUGCAUCACAUGCUCGGCAGUCACUACUGAAUCGAUCGAAAAUUACUAAUAAUUCGGAUUAACCGUGAUUUCACUUAUUCGUGGAUUCUUCGGUCUUGAGCAGCCCAGUUAAUCGAGGUUCCACUGUACUCGUAAUUACAAAAGUCACGUGAGACAAAUUCGCUCCUAAAAAAGAGCGCAUGACAAAAUUAAGAAACGGACAGUAGUCCAAUGUCGAUUUAAUUAACGCACCGCGUAAAUAACAAACACGCGUACGGAACACGCGACAAUCGCGGGCGUUGAUAUUUAGAUACAUAUUAAACUAGUUUGAUGAUAAAAACUGGAUAAUUAAUUAUUUUGUUCGAGUAAUUAAUAAUCCGUGGGUCGUUGAUUUCAGUUCGCAUAAUGGCUAGAGAAGCCGAUUCUAAGGUACCUUCACGGAAGUGAUGAACGUCAUAGGAAUCUGCUAGGAGCUGUUGGAAUGAAGUGGAAUAACGAAUUUCGGUCCGAACGGAGAUCUGGGCAAUCCACCAAGGAGACUGAAUUUUGUCAUAAUUCCUGGAGUCCCAGCUGACGGGGGUUCAAUUGCAAGAACUGGUGCUCUAUUGCUGUUCGCCCAUGUUGCAACGGGAGCAACUGUCCUUGGCGAGCC